Gossypium raimondii (Peruvian cotton) is the source of this 787-nucleotide long non-coding RNA. RefSeq lists it as uncharacterized. The record is from RefSeq and is a predicted model, not a curated record. Lineage: Eukaryota; Viridiplantae; Streptophyta; Magnoliopsida; Malvales; Malvaceae. The transcript has 2 exons.
UGAAACCAUUGCUGCCAUCGUUAUCCUUAUCCUUUGAUUUUUCAUUAACCUUCUAGAAAGUUUAUUGAUAAUGCUUAUCCAUUUGCUUAAGGCCGCCACUUUUUAAUUAAUUUCAAGCCUCGUUUUGAAGAAUAAUAUAGAAGCUUGUUCUUGUCUUCAUGUUUCUCCCAACUUUCAAAGUCGGUUUGACUUGAACAAAAAUCCUUCAAAAUUUUUAACUAGCAUUGGUAACCUCUCCAAAGGCAUUGUUCUUAAAGAAAACGACCACCUACUGUCUUCUAAAAGGCUAUCUUCUUCUUCGAAUACCCACCAGAAUCCACAAGUUGAGAAUCUUGCUCUUAGCAACUUUGAUGAAAUUUGGAGUACUCAAUCAAGGUUUCCUAAGAAGGGAAGGGAAGUGCAGGUACGUCAAAUGCAAGAGAGCAAUAGAAGCAACUCACGGCCAGAAUCCACAAUCACUCCACCUAUUGGGUGUGCCUCGCAUUUAUCGAACACAUUGCAAACACCUUAGACGAGAAUCGAUGAGUAACAGAUUAAGGGUCAAAAUAGGCCCAACUUCGAGACGAGGAGGUCCUUGAUAUCGGGACGAUGCAAUGGUUUUUGGCAAUGGACAUGGUGACGACGUCGUGACGAGGAGAUUGGCACGUCACGAUGAUUCCUAAUGUUAUCUAGUUAGGGUUUUGUUUUUAGGGUUUGGGUAAUGCACGUUUAGUACAUUUAGGUUUAUUUUUUCCAUAUUGUACUCUCGUUUGUUUACUCAUUUAAUGAAAAGUCGAAGCCUCCUUUA